GCGGGCGUCGUCGUCUCGGCCCUGCAGCCGCGCCAGGAGUCCGCGCUGCACAAAGCUCUGGCGGGCGGCGCGGCCCCGGCCGCCGCUCAGCUCCACCGCGCGUUCCAGAUCCUCCAGGGCGCCUGCGGGACCGAUGAGACGGGCGGGGCGGGGGUCAGCGGCGGCCUGGGCGGCCUUGCCCGAGCCCCAGCCCACCUGCGGCCGCGCGGAUCACCGUGGUCCUUGCGGCUCCGGGGCGUGGCCAUUUACAACCCGCCUCGCACCUGCUAGAGAAAAGACCCCGGCCAUGGAUGGGAGACCUAGGACAAAGAUGGAAAAGAGAAUCAACUCUGCCUUAGGCGAACAAUUUACCAUAAUAUUCUGAGACAGGAGUGGAAUGACACCUCCAGCCAUUACCUGCAAAUGAGAGCUGCUUUAGGCGGGCAUUUGAUCGAGCUUCCUGGACUUUAUCUGUCAAUGACUUCCAGGCAUCUGAAAGGAAAUAAAGAAAACCGUAAGCCAGAAAAUAUGCACAUAAACCCUUAAUACCAAUGAUGUGCACAAGCACUGCUUAGAAUCCCUACAGUGUGAACAUUUGCCCUCCUAGAGCAGUGUUUUAUUAUUUUUCUUAGAGUUUAAAUCAGUUCAUUACAUGUGAAAGGAGCUGAAAAGGUGCACUCCCCAGCAGGGCUUCUUUCUGUUGGAGGACACAGAAGCACGAAGGAAAGUCAGACCUUCCGAAAUGAACUCUGAAUCCCCAACGCAUUCACAUCUCUUGAUGGAAGUCUGGGUCUCACACCUGAAUGUUUGGUACUAUUAUGUUCCCUGUACUCCUAAUCAAAACAGCACUAGUAAUAAUGAUUUGACCAGGACUGUGGGAAGAUCAUAAUCUCUCUGUUCCUUAAAGUUAAGAGGCAGAACUAGAAAAUCCUUACAGUUCCUUCCAGCUCUAACCCAAGAUUCUGUGAUCUUUUCCUGUCUGCUAGGCAUUUCCACAUGGAUUUCUUACAUCACUCCACAUCAGUGUCUUCUGUGGAACCCCCAUACUCCUUACUUAUUUCCUUUGUUCUCCAUGCAUUAUCUUUUGUUUUAGUCACCCAGGCCUGAAUCUUUAGGGUCAUCUUUGACUCUCCCCUCUCCAUAUUCAACCAAGUGUAUUCAUUCUUCUUUCCUUUCCUUUCUUUUCCCACCAAAUGUGGGCUUUAUUACCAGACAUCUCUACUCUAGCAAUACUCUCAUUAGUAAACUCUCGUCUUUGAGCAUCUCCAGUUCAUGCUCAAUCUGUCUUACAUAGAGAGCUUAUCACAUUAUGUUUCCUGAAAUUCUGCUUCUAUUCACUCCCUCAAGUUUUCAAAGUCCUCAUGUUUGGCACUGAAAGCCCUCUAAAACCUGUUGUGCCCUAUCCACAUUCUCAAUUUUCUCCUUCACUACUACCUCACAUGGAUUUCAAUGCCAUCUCAUCUGACACUACUCUAAACCCACCAAAUGCAAUCCUGCCUUUCUAACUUUGCUUACCUCCCUUCUUCUUCCUAGAGAGCCCUGCAUUCUUCUUUGCCUAACCCAAAUUCCAUUUUCUCCUUUAAUAGAAUCUUCUAUUUAUCUUCAUGGGUUUUUGAUAACCCUAACUCACCCAUGGUGACCUUUCUCUCCUUUGAACUCUUCUAGUACUUACAGCCUAGAGAACAUUUACUAGUCCUUCAAAGGUGGAUGAACACUUAGAUGCUUGCGAUACAAAGAUGAAUAAGAAAAUAAAAUUCCAGCCCUUAUGGAGAGCUUGCUGAGUGAGUGAUAAAAGUAAACAAACACGUACAAAACAAAAUUUAAGCUAUGAGAGAAGAACAUGUAAAAUUCAAAAGGAGGGAGAGGGAGGGCUUAGCUACCUCAGAAGGUCAGGGAAGACCGUCUGAGCUGGAUCUUGAAGGGUGAGCUGGAGCUCACCAGGUGAUUGAGGGCAGGGAGAGAACUCCAGGCAGAGGAGAAAGCACGUGUGAAGACACACAAGGGAGACAGAAGGGCACAGAAGGCACAUGAGGGAACGGCAAAAAACAAGGCUGGAGGGAGAAGCAGGUUCUCAGGGGCUCUGCUAAGGUGUGUGCAAUGUUGAAAACAUAAUCUGUAUCAUUAACUUUUCAUGUAAAAUAUGGCUAUUUCUCCAAUAAGACAAACUUCUCAAGGACAAGUGAAAUGUAUGAUGCCUCCAGGUAUCCCCCUACCAUCUAGCAUAAAACAGCCACCUAAAUGGUGCUAAUACUCAGAAAAUGAAGCUCU
Long non-coding RNA from Nomascus leucogenys (northern white-cheeked gibbon), 2247 nucleotides. RefSeq lists it as uncharacterized. The record is from RefSeq and is a predicted model, not a curated record. The transcript is spliced from 3 exons. Lineage: Eukaryota; Metazoa; Chordata; Mammalia; Primates; Hylobatidae.